Non-coding RNA from Cajanus cajan (pigeon pea), 503 nucleotides. Lineage: Eukaryota; Viridiplantae; Streptophyta; Magnoliopsida; Fabales; Fabaceae. The record is from RefSeq and is a predicted model, not a curated record.
UGGAGUGACUAUAGGAAACAAUUAUGGAACCAAAGGAAUGAUGGAACACGUACAAGAGAUGAAUUGAUUGCAAUGGUUCCAGAAGGAAUAAAUAUAGACCAUUGGGCUUCUUAUGUUGACUAUCGUAUAACUUCAAAAAUGAAGGUACUAUAAACUAUUUUUUUAUCCUUUAUAUUUAUGUACUUGAAUUUGUUAAUUUUUUUUUAUCGUAAAUAGGAAAUUUCCCAAAAAAAAUAAGGAUAAUAGGAAGAGGCAAACAUUUCCUCACACUGGUGGAUCCAAGAGCAUUGCAAGAAAGAGACAUGAGAUGGAACAAGAAUGUGGUUGUAAAGUUAGUAGGGGAGAAGUAUGGAUAACAACACAUAAACAUGCUAAUGGAGAAUUUGUGAAUGAUGAAGCAAGAGAAAUUAGUGAAAAAAUUAAAGCAUAUGAAUCAAAUGCACCAUCAUUCACAAGACAUAUCAACUCAAGAUUCCCUAGCACAUGCUUUAGGAAGUCAAGAA